Molecule: ribosomal RNA, 253 nt
Filed under: uncultured bacterium
Lineage: Bacteria
Description: partial 16S ribosomal RNA
Rfam family: Bacterial small subunit ribosomal RNA
Source: RNAcentral
UACGUAGGGAGCAAGCGUUGUCCGGAAUCAUUGGGCGUAAAGAGCGCGUAGGUGGCUUUAUAAGUCCGUUGUGAAAGUCAAAGGCUCAACCUUUGAAAGCCGAUGGAUACUGUGAAGCUAGAGUACGGAAGAGGCGAGUGGAAUUCCUGGUGUAGCGGUGGAAUGCGCAGAUAUCAGGAGGAACACCAAUAGCGAAGGCAGCUCGCUGGGAGGUUACUGACACUGAGGCGCGAAAGCGUGGGGAGCGAACAGG